Molecule: ribosomal RNA, 275 nt
Filed under: uncultured bacterium
Lineage: Bacteria
Description: partial 16S ribosomal RNA
Rfam family: Bacterial small subunit ribosomal RNA
Source: RNAcentral
CACACGUGUUACAAUGGCAGGUACAGAGGGAUGCUACCGGGCGACCGGAUGCGGACCUCGAAAGCCUGUCCCAGUUCGGACUGGAGUCUGCAACCCGACUCCACGAAGUUGGAUUCGCUAGUAAUCGCGCAUCAGCCAUGGCGCGGUGAAUACGUUCCCGGGCCUUGUACACACCGCCCGUCAAGCCAUGGGAGCCGGGGGCGCCUGAAGUCCGGGACCGCGAGGACCGGCCUAGGGCGAAACUGGUAACUGGGGCUAAGUCGUAACAAGGUACC